AUUGAACGCUGGCGGCAUGCCUUACACAUGCAAGUCGAACGGCAGCGGACCUUCGGGUGCCGGCGAGUGGCGAACGGGUGAGUAAUAUAUCGGAACGUACCUUUCAGUGGGGGAUAACGUAGCGAAAGUUACGCUAAUACCGCAUAUUCUGUGAGCAGGAAAGCAGGGGAUCGCAAGACCUUGCGCUGAUUGAGCGGCCGAUAUCAGAUUAGCUAGUUGGUGAGGUAAAGGCUCACCAAGGCGACGAUCUGUAGCGGGUCUGAGAGGAUGAUCCGCCACACUGGAACUGAGACACGGUCCAGACUCCUACGGGAGGCAGCAGUGGGGAAUAUUGGGCAAUGGGGGCAACCCUGACCCAGCGACGCCGCGUGAGUGAAGAAAUCCCUCGGGAUGUAAAGCUCUGUUGUGUGGGAAGAUAAUGACGGUACCACACGAGGAAGCCCCGGCAAACUACGUGCCAGCAGCCGCGGUAAAGUCUAG
This 480-nucleotide ribosomal RNA is filed under the name uncultured bacterium. RNAcentral describes it as "bacterial SSU rRNA". It matches the Rfam family "Bacterial small subunit ribosomal RNA", at positions 30 to 530 of the family's 1533-position model. The record is from RNAcentral.